RNAcentral lists this ribosomal RNA (100 nucleotides) under uncultured archaeon. RNAcentral's name for it is "partial 16S ribosomal RNA". The record is from RNAcentral.
CUCCCUCGUUGCUGACCCCAGGUUCGGUAGUACCAAUUAGGCAUCACCCGCCAAGAACCAACUUCGAUGAAGCGACGGGCGGUGUGUGCAAGGAGCAGGG